UGUUAGCUGGCGCAAUGGUAGCGCGCAAGACUUCUAAUCUUGAGGUUGUGGGUUCGAGUCCCACGCGGAGUG
RNAcentral lists this transfer RNA (72 nucleotides) under Phialocephala subalpina. The stretch from base 6 to 66 matches the Rfam family "tRNA", at positions 6 to 65 of the family's 71-position model. From Rfam's summary of the family: Transfer RNA (tRNA) molecules are approximately 80 nucleotides in length. Their secondary structure includes four short double-helical elements and three loops (D, anti-codon, and T loops). Lineage: Eukaryota; Fungi; Ascomycota; Leotiomycetes; Helotiales; Mollisiaceae. The record is from RNAcentral.